Molecule: ribosomal RNA, 253 nt
Filed under: uncultured bacterium
Lineage: Bacteria
Description: partial 16S ribosomal RNA
Rfam family: Bacterial small subunit ribosomal RNA
Source: RNAcentral
GACGGAGGAUGCAAGCGUUAUCCGGAAUGAUUGGGCGUAAAGCGUCCGCAGGUGGCAGUUCAAGUCUGCUGUCAAAGACCGGGGCUUAACUUCGGAAAGGCAGUGGAAACUGAACAGCUAGAGUAUGGUAGGGGCAGAGGGAAUUCCCGGUGUAGUGGUGAAAUGCGUAGAGAUCGGGAGGAACACCUGUGGCGAAGGCGGCUCGCUGGGCCGGUCCUGACGCUGAGACGCGAAGGCGUGGGGAGCGAACGGG